This 253-nucleotide ribosomal RNA is filed under the name uncultured bacterium. RNAcentral describes it as "partial 16S ribosomal RNA". It matches the Rfam family "Bacterial small subunit ribosomal RNA", at positions 524 to 776 of the family's 1533-position model. The record is from RNAcentral.
GACGUAGGGCGCGAGCGUUGUCCGGAUUUAUUGGGCGUAAAGGGCUCGUAGGCGGCUUGUCGCGUCGAAUGUGAAAACCCACGGCUCAACUGCAGGCUUGCAUUCGAUACGGGCAGGCUCGAGUUCGGUAGGGGAGACUGGAAUUCCUGGUGUAGCGGUGAAAUGCGCAGAUAUCAGGAAGAACACCCGUGGCGAAGGCGGCUCUCUGGGACGGUACUGACGCUGAGACGCGAAAGCGUGGGGAGCGAACAGG